Molecule: ribosomal RNA, 301 nt
Filed under: uncultured bacterium
Lineage: Bacteria
Description: partial 16S ribosomal RNA
Rfam family: Bacterial small subunit ribosomal RNA
Source: RNAcentral
CAGCCGCCGCGGUAAUACAGAGGGUGCGAGCGUUAAUCGGAUUUACUGGGCGUAAAGCGUGCGUAGGCGGCUUCUUAAGUCGGAUGUGAAAUCACUGAGCUUAACUUAGGAAUUGCAUUCGAUACUGGGAAGCUAGAGUAUGGGAGAGGAUGGUAGAAUUCCAGGUGUAGCGGUGAAAUGCGUAGAGAUCUGGAGGAAUACCGAUGGCGAAGGCAGCCAUCUGGCCUAAUACUGACGCUGAGGUACGAAAGCAUGGGGAGCAAACAGGAUUAGAUACCCCCGUAGUCCCUGUCUCUUAUAA